Molecule: ribosomal RNA, 428 nt
Filed under: Bacteroidota bacterium
Lineage: Bacteria; Pseudomonadati; Bacteroidota
Description: Bacteroidetes bacterium partial 16S ribosomal RNA
Rfam family: Bacterial small subunit ribosomal RNA
Source: RNAcentral
UAGGGAAUCUUCGGCAAUGGGGGGAACCCUGACCGAGCAACGCCGCGUGAGUGAAGAAGGAUUUCGGUUCGUAAAACUCUGUUGUUAGAGAAGAACAGCGCAUAGAGUAACUGUUAUGCGUGUGACGGUAUCUAACCAGAAAGGGACGGCUAACUACGUGCCAGCAGCCGCGGUAAUACGUAGGUCCCGAGCGUUGUCCGGAUUUAUUGGGCGUAAAGCGAGCGCAGGCGGUUAGAUAAGUCUGAAGUUAAAGGCAGUGGCUCAACCAUUGUAGGCUUUGGAAACUGUUUAACUUGAGUGCAGAAGGGGAGAGUGGAAUUCCAUGUGUAGCGGUGAAAUGCGUAGAUAUAUGGAGGAACACCGGUGGCGAAAGCGGCUCUCUGGUCUGUAACUGACGCUGAGGCUCGAAAGCGUGGGGAGCGAACAGG